Molecule: ribosomal RNA, 452 nt
Filed under: uncultured Pseudomonas sp.
Lineage: Bacteria; Pseudomonadati; Pseudomonadota; Gammaproteobacteria; Pseudomonadales; Pseudomonadaceae
Description: bacterial SSU rRNA
Rfam family: Bacterial small subunit ribosomal RNA
Source: RNAcentral
CGGUGGAGCAUGUGGUUAAUUCGAAGCAACGCGAAGAACCUUACCAGGCCUUGACAUGCAGAGAACUUUCCAGAGAUGGAUUGGUGCCUUCGGGAACUCUGACACAGGUGCUGCAUGGCUGUCGUCAGCUCGCGUCGUGAGAUGUUGGGUUAAGUCCCGUAACGAGCGCAACCCUUGUCCUUAGUUACCAGCACGUUAUGGUGGGCACUCUAAGGAGACUGCCGGUGACAAACCGGAGGAAGGUGGGGAUGACGUCAAGUCAUCAUGGCCCUUACGGCCUGGGCUACACACGUGCUACAAUGGUCGGUACAAAGGGUUGCCAAGCCGCGAGGUGGAGCUAAUCCCAUAAAACCGAUCGUAGUCCGGAUCGCAGUCUGCAACUCGACUGCGUGAAGUCGGAAUCGCUAGUAAUCGUGAAUCAGAAUGUCACGGUGAAUACGUUCCCGGGCCUU